Molecule: ribosomal RNA, 403 nt
Filed under: bacterium
Lineage: Bacteria
Description: partial 16S ribosomal RNA
Rfam family: Bacterial small subunit ribosomal RNA
Source: RNAcentral
UGUCGAAUAUUGCACACUGGGGGAAACCCUGAUGCAGCGACGCCGCUUGAACGAAGAAGUUAUUCGUAUCGCAAAGUUCUGUCCUAUGGGAAGAUAAUGACAGUACCAUAGAAGAAAGCUCCGGCUAAAUACGUGCCAGCAGCCGCGGUAAUACGUAUGGAGCGAGCGUUGUCCGGAAUUAUUGGGCGUAAAGGGUACGCAGGCGGUUUAAUAAGUCGAAUGUUAAAGAUCGGGGCUCAACCACGUAAAGCAUUGGAAACUGAUAAACUGGAGUAGUGGAGAGGAGAGUGGAGUUGCUAGUGUAGUGGUGAAGUACGUAGAUAUUAGGAGGAAUACCAGUAGCGAAGGCGACUUUCUGGACACAAACUGACGCUGAGGUACGAAAGCGUGGGGAGCAAACAGG